AUCCCAGGGCGUACUCUCGCCUUUGUCGCCAGGUGGAAGAACAGGAAUGCUUAUGUCUGAGGUGUCUAAACCUUAGUAUUACACGUAUGGCGGCUGUUGAGGGUCUCCAGGCCCCUGACGCAUUCAGUCAGGCCUGAUUGGUUGGUCCUGCUCUGGGCUCUUCCCUGGAGUACAUCUUGAGCCAGCAUGGAGGAACUGCCUCAUAGUGACAUUUUUUCUUCUUGAAACCGAGGCAGCAAUCAUCUCACUGUGCAUCUGCGGCAUUUGACUCAGCAACACACACCCAUGAUAUUAAAUUCACCUGUAAAUAUGCUAAUUUGUGUAAUGUGGCUGGAUCCACCCUCACAUCUAAUAAACACUUCAGUUUCCUCUGUAUUAAUAUUCA
This is a long non-coding RNA of Electrophorus electricus (electric eel), 385 nucleotides long. RefSeq lists it as uncharacterized. Lineage: Eukaryota; Metazoa; Chordata; Actinopteri; Gymnotiformes; Gymnotidae. The record is from RefSeq and is a predicted model, not a curated record.